RNAcentral lists this long non-coding RNA (2116 nucleotides) under Setaria viridis. RNAcentral's name for it is "long non-coding RNA (SVIR_LNC009994)". Lineage: Eukaryota; Viridiplantae; Streptophyta; Magnoliopsida; Poales; Poaceae. The record is from RNAcentral.
CCAGUGGCAAGGAGCCGACGAGGAGGCUGGAGCCUAAAGGCGGGACGACGACGUCUGGGUCAACGAGCUCCGUCACCGGUCCUCCGCUAGAUCGGUGAGGACGACUUCGCCAGUUCGCCUUCGACCCCCGAGUCCCGUCCCCAACCGUGCUGCUCCUUAUUCAGCGUCUGCGGCGGUCGUCCCCUCUCCAUCCAUCAGCGGCGGCGGCCCAGGUGUGAGCCCACUCCCUCCUCUCGAAUCCUCCUCCAGCGAUCCAAUACGAAUCAGGUGCAUACGGAGCACUGCGGGCCGGAUCACCACAUCACCGUCAGGCUGGCGGCCGAGUUCACUGUCAGGUGCCCACGCGGGAUCACCAACAGGCCGGCGGAGCAUGACGCGAUCCAACAGGCUAACUACACGCGCGCUGGCGUGAUUAGUUUCUUCUCACCGUCGGCGAAUACUCCCUUCAGACCAUGUUCUUUGCGACGCCCUGGCCAUCAUUCUCCCGGACUGGAUGCGCAUGGACUGCGUCGUCAAGUCCUGGAUUUACGGCACGGUCUCCCCCUGUAACACCCAAAAUUUUGAAUAAUUCAAAUUAAUUAAAAUAUGCUCAAAUUAGGGUGUUAUUUAAUUUCUAGGCAUUUGAUUUCAUUUUCCUUAAUUCAAUUAAUUCAUCAUAGGAAUUAUUUGUGCAUUCAUGCUGGUGCAUUAAUUUUGAUUGCUUGAGUUUGAUUUAAAUUUUGAAAUUUCAAAUUUAAAUUCAAAUUCCAAACCAUUUUCUCUUUCUCUUUCUUUUUCUUCUUCUUCUUCUUUCCCUGGGCCGAAACUUCCCUCUCCUCCCUUCUUUUCUUUCCUUUCGGCCCGGCCGCAUCUCCUCACCGGCCCGCGACGCAGCUCGCCGGCCUCCUCCUUUUUCUCCCCUGCCGGCCUGCUCCACCAGCCGCUCGGCCCGUCGCUCCUUCCACGGUCCAGGACCCCACUCCACCUUCUCUCGCUCGGCCGCGUCGCCGCUUCCUCUGCCGCGGCCCACGCGCGCGUGCCGGCCCGCGUAGCCGCCCCGGCCUGCCGCUCACCCGACGCCGCGCAGCCCGCGAACGCGCGCCGGCCCACGAAGUCGCGCCGGCCCGCCACCCGCCUUCUCCUUCCUCCGGCCGGACUCCGCUCCGACUCCGCAACGGCCGCCGCCGGAUCCGCAGCCGUCCGCCUCCGCUCCGACUCCUUCGGGGGAGUUUAAACCCGCGCCGCUCUAUCCCCUAGCGCCUAUAAAAGCCGCCGCCCCCUCCCGGUCUCCUCCGCCCAAACGCCAGCGCCGCAGCUCACCCGAACCCUAGCCGCCACGAGCUCCAGCGCCGCCGCCUCUUCCCCGCCGUCGAUCGCCGCCGUCGGUGAGCUCCGGUCGACGAGAACCCCCAAAACGGGAUCGCCGCACCCUCCUCUCUCUUCUGGUGCAACCCGCGCUUCAAAUGGUGCCCCGGAGCGCCGUUUCGGCCAACUCCGGCGACCCGCCGCCGCUCGCCGUCGCACGCCGCCGCUCCCCGCCGCCGCCGCUCUGUUUCCCCGCCGCCGUCGCGAGUCGUGGACGACCGUGGCCGUCCGAUCUCGAUCCGACGGUCGGACGCGAGUCAAUCAAGAUCGCGUACCGGUCAACCGAGCCGCGCCGCGCCGCUUUUGCACUUGAGCCCCUGUCUUUUUCGCAAAUCAACCCGCGGUCCAGAUCGCGUUGAAAAUAAUUCCAGAUCUGCCCUCGCAUCUUUCGGUUUAGCCCUUGAACUUUCCAGAAAUCAACCCGCCGUCCGGGUUUGUUGUUUUUACGCGUCAGACCCUCGGUUUAUACGCAUAAUUAUGUAUAAGCCCUCGGUUUUCGCGAAUAGGCCCUGAAAGUUUUGUUUUUCUCACAGAAAAGUCCCUGGAUCUUGUUUUAAUCAUAUCUUUUGCAUCUUAACUCCGUUUUUCGCAUUCUUUAUAUCCACGUGUUCGUUUUAAAGCGUAGAUCAUCCUUUCAAGCUUGUUUUCUCUGUUUGACUAUGUUUGGUGUACUGUUUUCUUACUUUUUGCCCAUGUUUGCUUGUAUGUGCUCGUGUGACGCGUGUAGACGCCCCGCAGUUCGAGGGAGUUGCCGAUCAAGCCUUCGAGGAGU